GAUGAACGCUGGCGGCGUGCCUAAUACAUGCCAGUCGAGCGAACAGACGAGGAGCUUGCUCCUCUGACGUUAGCGGCGGACGGGUGAGUAACACGUGGAUAACCUACCUAUAAGACUGGGAUAACUUCGGGAAACCGGAGCUAAUACCGGAUAAUAUAUUGAACCGCAUGGUUCAAUAGUGAAAGACGGUUUUGCUGUCCCUUAUAGAUGGAUCCGCGCCGCAUUAGCUAGUUGGUAAGGUAACGGCUUACCAAGGCAACGAUGCGUAGCCGACCUGAGAGGGUGAUCGGGCACACUGGAACUGAAACACGAUACAGACUCCGACGGGAGGCAGCAGUAGGGAAUCUUCGGCAAUGGGCGAAAGCCUGACGGAGCAACGCCGCGUGAAUGAUGAGGGUCUUCGGAUCGUAAAACUCUGUUAUUAGGGAAGAACAAAUGUGUAAGUAACUAUGCACGUCUUGACGGUACCUAAACAGAAAGCCACGGCUAACUACGUG
This 497-nucleotide ribosomal RNA is filed under the name uncultured bacterium. RNAcentral describes it as "partial 16S ribosomal RNA". It matches the Rfam family "Bacterial small subunit ribosomal RNA", at positions 28 to 507 of the family's 1533-position model. The record is from RNAcentral.